UUAAAACUUUUUAUAAUUUUAAUUAUUAUAUUAUUUUAUUUUAUUAAGUAAAAAAAAAUUUUAAAUAUUAAAAAUUUUAUUAACUGAAAAGGAUAAUAUUUUAUUAUUUUAAAAUAAUUUGUUAGUACCUUUUGUAUCAGGGUAAAUUAAAUUAGUUAAUUAUUUUUGUUUCCCGAAAAAAAUGAUAUUUAUUUUAUUUUUUUUUUAUUGUUAAAUAAAUAUUUAUAAAUUUAUUAUAGUAGUGAAAUUUUAUUCGUUCUUUUUUAUAUCUGGUUAUUUAGGAUUUCAAUUAAAUUGAUGAUUAAAUAUAUUUAUUUUAUUGUAAUUUAUUUAAUCUUAUAUAAUGUGGGAUAAUCUGUUUUAUUUUUUAAAAUUUAAAUUAAUAAAUUUUUAUUUUUUUUUAAAUUUUAAAUUAAGUUUAUAAUAAAUUUAUAUUAUUAUUUUAAAUUUUUUUUUAUUUAUAUUUUUACUAAAUUAAUUUAAUAAAUUUUUAUUUUUAUUAAAAAAUGAUUUAAUAAAUAUAAUUUUUAAUUUAAUUUUAAAUAACUCGACAAAUUUAAUUGUCAACUGUUUAUCAAAAACAUUUUUUUUAGUAAAAUUUUAAAAGUAUAUUCUGCCCUAUGAUUAAUUUUAAAUGGCUGCAGUAUUUUGACUGUGCAAAGGUAGCAUAAUCAUUAGUCAUUUAAUUGUUGACUAGAAUGAAUGGAUAAAUGAGCAAUUAAUUUUUUUAAAUUUAUUUUUAAAAUUUUAUUUUUAAGUUAAAAAGCUUAAUUAUUUUUUAGGGACGAUAAGACCCUAUAGAACUUUAUUAUAAAAUUAAUUUAAAAAUUUUUGGUUUAAAAUUUAUUUAUUUUUAUUUAUUUUUUUGUUGGGGUGAUGAAUAAAUUUAAACUUUAUUUUUUUAAUUCAUUUAUUUAUGAUUUUUUUGAUCCAUAUUUUAGAUAAAAAGAAAUAGUUACCUUAGGGAUAACAGCGUAAUUUUAAUGGAAAGUUCAUAUUUAUAUUAAAGUUUGCGACCUCGAUGUUGAAUUAAGGUAAAUUUGAGGGGUAGUUUUUUCAUUUUUAAGUCUGUUCGACUUUUAAAUUCUUACAUGAUUUGAGUUCAAACCGGUGUGAGCCAGGUUGGUUUCUAUCUUAAGAUAUUUUAAUUUAAUUAGUACGAAAGGACCAUUAAAUUCAAUAUUUUUUUGUUUAAUUAUGAAUUUUAGU
RNAcentral lists this ribosomal RNA (1209 nucleotides) under Erragonalia choui. Its description in RNAcentral is "16S ribosomal RNA". The record is from RNAcentral. Lineage: Eukaryota; Metazoa; Arthropoda; Insecta; Hemiptera; Cicadellidae.